Molecule: ribosomal RNA, 497 nt
Filed under: uncultured bacterium
Lineage: Bacteria
Description: partial 16S ribosomal RNA
Rfam family: Bacterial small subunit ribosomal RNA
Source: RNAcentral
GAUGAACGCUGGCGGCGUGCCUAAUACAUGCAAGUCGAGCGAACAGAUGAGGAGCUUGCUCCUCUGACGUUAGCGGCGGACGGGUGAGUAACACGUGGAUAACCUACCUAUAAGACUGGGAUAACUUCGGGAAACCGGAGCUAAUACCGGAUAAUAUAUUUAACCGCAUGGUUCAAUAGUGAAAGACGGUUUUGCUGUCACUUAUAGAUGGAUCCGCGCCGCAUUAGCUAGUUGGUAAGGUAACGGCUUACCAAGGCAACGAUGCGUAGCCGACCUGAGAGGGUGAGAGGCCACACUGGAACUGAGACACGGUCCAGACUCCUACGGGAGGCAGCAGUAGGGAAUCUUCCGCAAUGGGCGAAAGCCUGACGGAGCAAAGCCGCGUGAGUGAUGAAGGUCUUCGGAUCGUAAAACUCUGUUAUUAGGGAAGAACAAAUGUGUAAGUAACUAUGCACGUCUUGACGGUACCUAAUCAGAAAGCCACGGCUAACUACGUG